RNAcentral lists this ribosomal RNA (95 nucleotides) under Microcebus murinus (gray mouse lemur). The record is from RNAcentral. Lineage: Eukaryota; Metazoa; Chordata; Mammalia; Primates; Cheirogaleidae.
CCACCCUGAACGCGCCCGAUCUCAUCUGAUCUCGGAAGCUAAGCAGGGUUGGGCCUGGUUAGUACUUGGAUGGGAGUUUGCUUUAUUAAUCUGGG